Sarcophilus harrisii (Tasmanian devil) is the source of this 1065-nucleotide long non-coding RNA. RefSeq lists it as uncharacterized. The transcript is spliced from 4 exons. The record is from RefSeq and is a predicted model, not a curated record. NCBI's taxonomy places the organism in Eukaryota, Metazoa, Chordata, Mammalia, Dasyuromorphia, Dasyuridae.
UGAAAAAUGUCUCUAUAACCAAAAUUUCAGUGACUCACAAUUCUGUCAAGAACUGAAGGAAAUUCCUGUAUUGGUAGAGCUGUGGAUUAGCAGCAUGAAUGUGACCUGGAGAAUGAUGGGAGAAAGGUCAUCAGGCCCUCUAUUGCAAUCCCUGGGCCCACCCUGAGAACUGGCUACAAACCAGGCUGGCUGCAAGAGGAGGUUUACAUCCUACUGGAAAGACACUUCAAAUAGGCAUUGCCUUUGUAGCACCCCUGACAAUCAAGUGGCUACCUGGAUACUCCCAGAAGUUAUUACCUUACAUAGUAAGUUGUUUCAUUGUUGGAUAAUUUGGAAAUGUCCAGUUUGUCUCCAAACACAUCUUUUUUGGGGGGAAGGAGGUUACACCUUUGCUACUGUCAUUUUCCAUACCUAGAAUCCCUUCUCUCACCUCUAGUUCUUGAACUUUAACCUAUCCUUCAAGGCUCAUUAUCUCCCUUAAGAAAGCUUUUUUGAGCUUUAUUCAUCACUCCUUCCCUCCAGUUCACUCAGAACUUCUUUCUCUUUCUUCUGAAUAUUUGUAGUCUUUAGUUUGUAUCUUUUCUAUGCACACAUUACAGCCUACUUUCUGUUGAAGUUAUUUGCAUCUACGCCUUAUCCUUGUUACUAGGAGAUCUGGAAGCAUGUUGUAAUCAUCUCAGGAUUCCGAAUUUGUAUAGAACAGGCUAGGCACUGAAUACAUUUUUGUUGAAUGAAUCUGCCAGGAGCAUGAAUAUUGGGAGGGCUGACAUGGCCCUCUCAAAAUCUUGCUCUGGACUUAGGCUGUAGGGUUAGGGUUAGGGUUAGGGUUAGAGAAGGCUUUCUUUUGGACUCUACUCUUUUGGGCUUUGGGGCAAUCAUAAAAAUAGAAAAGAAAUAAGCACAUAGAUCCAUAGUGUCCUAGAAUGUUACAGAUAGAAAGGCACUCUGUUUGCCCUUGAAGAUCUAUUUUAAUAUUUACAUAUUAGCAUAUAAUGAAAUUAGCAAGAAAUGACGAAUAAUGAAGAUCUAUUUUAAUAUUUACAUAUUAGCAUAUAAUGAAAUAUA